CCACUCUGUCUCGGAUCCUGGCAAGUAAGUCCUUGUCAGACUGAGAGCAGUGUGCCU
This 57-nucleotide microRNA precursor is filed under the name Bos taurus (domestic cattle). RNAcentral describes it as "Bta-Mir-2461_pre stem-loop". The record is from RNAcentral. Lineage: Eukaryota; Metazoa; Chordata; Mammalia; Artiodactyla; Bovidae.